UUUGACGGGGACCCUGAUCCGGCGGUCGGGAUUGACCGGAUCGAGCUAUGACUUGGACGGCCAGGAAGCUUGCUCGAAGCGUUUUUCUUCAUAAUCGAACAAAACAGCUGGGUUUUUUCUUCUUCUGCUAUUUAGGUUUAUCAUAAUCGAACGAAACAGCUGCGGUGUUUUGAGAUAGAGUUAGGGUUUGGAAUCGAUAACAAUUUUGAGAUCGAGGGAUACGAAUAAAGCUUAAGUAAGGGAUGAUGAUGGUUGUGCUGAUUGUUUUGGUUGACUCAAACUCAUGGGAAGGGGUUGAUGUUGAAUCACAAAGUGCUGUCUCGAGUUCGCGGUUCUUUUCUUGAAGGCAGGUGUUACAACCAUUAGUGCUAUUCGAGGAGCUGCUAUUAUAAAUUAGGAGGAAUUGAUGUUGAAUCACGAAGUCUGUUUCGAGCGCAAACCAAGUCAUGUCUGCGUACAAAAACAUCAUGUUAGGGAGUUGGGUAGACAAUACUUAUUAGUCCAGUCUCAUUAUUAUCUAUGAAUCACGAAUGCUACCAGGAUUAACUUUAAUCUUGAUCUACCUGAACUUGGAGGAAUAUGUGAGAGAUUUCUAUGCUCUACUCUUGGUCUACUAGGGCAUGUUCGCGUCAGGCAUUGGCCAAUGUAUCUUCCAUGCUUUGUUCAGCUGAGACCUUCAAUGGUGUAAUUACUAGAUGCCAGUGGCAUCAUUAAAAAAAUUAGAGAAGCAACAGAUGGAGACAGAGCGUUACGUCUCCUAUGUUAAACCACAGUUAAGGUCAUAUAGAUCGUUACACCAUCAGGUUGAUACAGGAACUGAUAUAUUGUGGGUUAAUUGCAUUGCAAUUCAGGUUGCAGGAACUUAGCAAAGACAAGGGUUAGUCUCGAGAGGAAAAAAAAGUAACAACAACAAAUAUCUACUGUUGACCAAAUUCUUUUUAGUUCUGAAAGGCUUCAUAUACUUGAGCACUGAAGAAAUAGGGGCUCAAGCCCUGGCGACAGAGCACUAGGAUGUCGAAAUCAAUAUUUUGUUUUAAUUCUAAUUCUAAGAGAUUAGUUACUGACAUUGUAAGUAUUCCAGCAUGUGGUGCAGUUAAGAACUGAGGACCAGAUAAUUAUGGAGUUUUUGCUAAAGACCAUGCUGGAAGUGCACCAAGAUAUGGUAAACCUGAUGAUGGUGGCACUACUGAUGAGCCUAUGGAUCCAAAAGAGCCAUUUCCAGCUACAUGUGGCAGAGCUCCAACAUCAACAGGCUGUGGAUGAUUGAACUUGCAGGCGAACCCAUGUAAUAUAGACAUGGUGUUACUUCCUAUUUAAUAACAUUAAAACACAAGCAUAUUGUACUAACUUAUUUGAAAGAAAUAUGGUUUUUUCCCUUUCCCAGUUCACUUUUGAUAUCUUUCUUACGCAUCUACUCUGACUCACUAUUUUAUUGAUUUGUUAACAGGUAUGCAAACAAGAAUUCCCAACCAAGUAUGAAUUUAAUUUCUCUCCAUCUUCUUUGCUUUCAAUAUAUAUAUAUUAAGAGUACAGUAUCAAUAGGUCCUUAACAAUCAUUGCAAUUAUGUACUUAUCAUUACAUGAAUUGCGAAGCUACAGGAUUUGCCAUUAAACACUUUAGUUUCGAAAACUAGAAGGGAGGAAUUGGUCAGUGAUGAUUUUAAAUUGGUUUCCUUUGAUGUUCCCAUACCUUACAAUGAAUCGUAUAUAUAUGUGCGCGGUAAACUGCAGCUAAUAGAUGUCCAACCAAAGGAUGAGAUAAUCCUUUUUUCGUAUUUUGUGUAACCUUGAGAGUUAGAUAAGGUUAGCAGGAACCUAAAAUUGGAGUGUUAGAUUUAUGUGUAUACAAUUUGAUUAAUAAUUAGGUUUUCUGUCUACUGUGAUUUCUGAUUGCCAGGAAUAAUAACGAAUCUAAUCUAUUUUUCUCUUCUUUUCUUCUAUGUUCGACUUUCAAUCUUUGAUUAGGGUUACCACUUAUUUUUGAUAGAAGGGGUUAGAAUAGGAGCAGAACUGUGAAAUAUAGGUACUUUUUUAGUAUUGCGGUUAUUGUUUAGAGACUUUGUGAUAUUUGUGAUUAAAAAAGGUUUGGUUCCGGGUUCCCUCUGAUUUUUUAAGUUAAACUUAUUUUGUCUAAUUUUGUUUUUGCAUACAUGUUCUAUUUUUGUUACUGAUUUACUUUCUUUUUUGAUAGUGCAGGUGAUUUACUUUCUUUUUGAUAGUGCAGGUGAUUUACUUUCUUUUUGAUAGGGUUCCAAAUUAAAGAUUGCUAUUAUCCUAUGGUGGCAGAAGUAUGCUCCCUUUUUGAAGAAGUGUCAAGGGACUAUAUCAUCUGAAUUAUCUCCCGUGAGAAAAUUUGAAAUGAAAAGAACUUUUUGGGUGGUGUGAGACUUACUGAACUCAACAUGCAAAUCAUGGCUCAAGAAAGUUUUCCAGCCACCGGUGUUCGAGGAGAAAGAUCUUACAAACUUGGAUGAUGUCGAUACUCUUUUCGAGUGCUGGGAAGCGAGUCAAAAGUAAUAUUGAUAGAAUUUCAUGUGGAAAUUCUACCAUCGUUGUUAUGAAUGAUAUUAGUAAUUUUUUGUUGGCACUAUUUAAGAUUUCCAGUAGUAUCAUGCGACUGAAAAGAGAUAAGAACAACCAAUAGCUAUUAAUGCCUUCGAAUUCAUUUUCAUGUAAAAUGGUUUACAUCUUGGAAAUUAGUUUGGACAACAGGUGUGUUUCAGUCUUUUUUUCUAUUUGUAAUAUUUAUUCAUUCGCUAUUA
Long non-coding RNA from Papaver somniferum (opium poppy), 2762 nucleotides. RefSeq lists it as uncharacterized. The record is from RefSeq and is a predicted model, not a curated record. The transcript is spliced from 10 exons. NCBI's taxonomy places the organism in Eukaryota, Viridiplantae, Streptophyta, Magnoliopsida, Ranunculales, Papaveraceae.